AAGUCGUAACAAGGUUUCCGUAGGUGAACCUGCGGAAGGAUCAUUAUCGAAUAAACUUGAACAGGCUGUUGCUGGUCCCUCGGGGUAUGUGCACGCUUGUCUCAUCUUUGUUAUUUUCUCCCACUUGUGCACCUUUUGUAGACUCUGGAGCUUUGUGGAUUUUCUGAAAAUUCGAGUCGGGACUGCCGUGCUUUGUUGUGAAGUCGGCUUUGCCUUGCAUUCUCCAGGUCUAUGUCAUUUUCACAACCUCUUGAAACAUGUUUAGAAUGUUGGAUAAAAAUGAAAUAUACAACUUUCAGCAACGGAUCUCUUGGCUCUCGCAUCGAUGAAGAACGCAGCGAAAUGCGAUAAGUAAUGUGAAUUGCAGAAUUCAGUGAAUCAUCGAAUCUUUGAACGCAUCUUGCGCUCCUUGGUAUUCCGAGGAGCAUGCCUGUUUGAGUGUCAUUUAACUUCUCAACCAUGUUGGAUAUUUUUUUCAAUGUUGGCUUGGAUGUGGGGGUUGUUUGCAGGCUUUUGUAACAAAAAGGUCGGCUCCCCUGAAAUAUAUUAGUGGUAUCUGAGGCUAUUGCUAUUAGGUGUGAUAAUUAUCUAUGCCUUUUGGGUAUGCCGCAUGAACAGAUUAUGCUGCUUCUAACGAAAACUAUUUUGAUGAAUUUGACCUCAAAUCAGGUAGGACUACCGCUGAACUUAAGCAUAUCAAUAAGCGGAGGAAAAGAAACUAACAAGGAUUCCCCUAGUAACUGCGAGUGAAGCGGGAAAAGCUCAAAUUUGAAAUCUGGCGGUUCUUGAACUGUCCGAGUUGUAAUCUAGAGAAGCGUUGCCUGUGCUGGACCGUGUACAAGUCUCCUGGAAUGGAGCAUCACAGAGGGUGAGAAUCCCGUCUUUGACACGGACUGCCUGUACGAUAUGGUGCGCUCCCGAAGAGUCGAGUUGUUUGGGAAUGCAGCUCAAAAUGGGUGGUAAAUGCCAUCUAAAGCUAAAUAUUGGCGAGAGACCGAUAGCGAACAAGUACCGUGAGGGAAAGAUGAAAAGAACUUUGGAAAGAGAGUUAAACAGUACGUGAAAUUGCUGAAAGGGAAACGCUUGAAGUCAGUCGCGUCGGCUAGAAAUCAGCCUUGCUUUUGCUUGGUGUACUUUCUGGUUGACGGGUCAGCAUCAGUUUUGACCAUUGGAUAAAGUCGUUGGGAAUGUGGCAUCUUAGGAUGUGUUAUAGCCCAUUGUCGCAUACAGUGGUUGGGAUUGAGGAACUCAGCACGCCGAAAGGCCGGGUCUUUUCUGACCACGUUCGUGCUUAGGAUGCUGGCAUAAUGGCUUUAAUCGACC
Molecule: ribosomal RNA, 1323 nt
Filed under: uncultured fungus
Lineage: Eukaryota; Fungi
Description: eukaryotic LSU rRNA
Rfam family: Eukaryotic large subunit ribosomal RNA (bases 656-1323)
Source: RNAcentral